GACAUGUGGAGCUUCUAGAAGUGAGAAUGCCGGUAUGAGUAACGAAAGACAGGUGAGAAUCCUGUCCGCCGCAAGACUAAGGUUUCCUGGGGCAGGCUCGUCCGCCCAGGGUAAGUCGGGACCUAAGGCGAGGCCGAGAGGCGUAGUCGAUGGACAACAGGUUGAAAUUCCUGUACUGCACCGAAUCGUUAUGAGCGAUGGAGGGACGCAGGAGGCUAGCAGCGCGUGGUGCUGGAUACCACGUUCAAGCGUCAAGUCUGAGAGCGAGUCAAAUGCUUGCUCUCAUAAGGACAAGGCGUGAUGAGGAGCGAAAUUAAAGUAGCGAAGGCUGCGACGUCACACUGCCGAGAAAAGCUUCUAGCCAGAGACGGUGCACCCGUACCGCAAACCGACACAGGUAGUCGAGGAGAGUAUCCUCAGGUGAGCGAGAGAACUCUCGUUAAGGAACUCGGCAAAAUGGCCCCGUAACUUCGGGAGAAGGGGCGCUGGUCGCAAGAUCAGCCGCAGUGAAAAGGCCCAAGCAACUGUUUAUCAAAAACACAGGCAUCUGCAAAAUCGUAAGAUGAAGUAUAGGUGCUGACACCUGCCCGGUGCUGGAAGGUUAAGAGGAGAGCUUAGCGCAAGCGAAGGUUUGAAUUGAAGCCCCAGUAAACGGCGGCCGUAACUAUAACGGUCCUAAGGUAGCGAAAUUCCUUGUCGGGUAAGUUCCGACCUGCACGAAAGGUGUAAUGAUUUGGGCACUGUCUCAACGAGAGACUCGGUGAAAUUAUAAUACCCGUGAAGAUGCGGGUUACCCGCGACAGGACGGAAAGACCCCAUGGAGCUUUACUGCAGUUUAAUAUUGGGUAUCUGUCAAGCAUGUACAGGAUAGGUAGGAGCCGGAGAAGAUAGGACGCCAGUCUUAUCUGAGGCGCUGUUGGGAUACUACCCUUGCUUGACGGAUGCUCUAACUCAGGCCUGUGAUCCAGGCCGAGGACAGUGUUUGACGGGCAGUUUGACUGGGGCGGUCGCCUCCUAAAGUGUAACGGAGGCGCCCAAAGGUUCCCUCAGAAUGGUUGGAAAUCAUUCGCAGAGUG
This 1076-nucleotide ribosomal RNA is filed under the name human gut metagenome. Its description in RNAcentral is "bacterial LSU rRNA". It matches the Rfam family "Bacterial large subunit ribosomal RNA", at positions 1268 to 2351 of the family's 2925-position model. The record is from RNAcentral.